GUUUUGAUAGUUUAAACCUAAAACAUUGAUCUUGUAACUCAACACUGACAAAAGUCUCAAAACU
Molecule: transfer RNA, 64 nt
Filed under: Damon diadema
Lineage: Eukaryota; Metazoa; Arthropoda; Arachnida; Amblypygi; Phrynichidae
Description: tRNA-Thr
Source: RNAcentral